GGUCCGGUGGCCGAGUGGUCAGGCACAGGUCUGCAAAACCUGCUACGUGGGUUCGAUUCCCGCCCGGACCU
Molecule: transfer RNA, 71 nt
Filed under: Roseomonas fluvialis
Lineage: Bacteria; Pseudomonadati; Pseudomonadota; Alphaproteobacteria; Acetobacterales; Roseomonadaceae
Also listed under: 3 other names
Description: Roseomonas sp. S08 tRNA-Cys
Rfam family: tRNA
About the family: Transfer RNA (tRNA) molecules are approximately 80 nucleotides in length. Their secondary structure includes four short double-helical elements and three loops (D, anti-codon, and T loops). Further hydrogen bonds mediate the characteristic L-shaped molecular structure. tRNAs have two regions of fundamental functional importance: the anti-codon, which is responsible for specific mRNA codon recognition, and the 3' end, to which the tRNAs corresponding amino acid is attached (by aminoacyl-tRNA synthetases). tRNAs cope with the degeneracy of the genetic code in two manners: having more than one tRNA (with a specific anti-codon) for a particular amino acid; and 'wobble' base-pairing, i.e. permitting non-standard base-pairing at the 3rd anti-codon position.
Source: RNAcentral